GUAGGGAAUAUUGGGCAAUGGUCGGAAGACUGACCCAGCCAUGCCGCGUGCAGGAAGACGGCCCUCUGGGUUGUAAACUGCUUUUAUCUGGGAAGAAAAAGGCCAUGCGUGGCAAAUUGCCGUUACCAGAUGAAUAAGCACCGGCUAACUCCGUGCCAGCAGCCGCGGUAAUACGGAGGGUGCGAGCGUUGUCCGGAUUUAUUGGGUUUAAAGGGUGCGUAGGCUGCUGAUAAAGUCAGCGGUGAAAGACUUCGGCUUAACCGGAGCAGUGCCGUUGAUACUGGUUGGCUUGAGUGUCGGAGGGAUACAUGGAAUUGAUGGUGUAGCGGUGAAAUGCAUAGAUACCAUCAGGAACACCGAUAGCGAAGGCAUUGUACUGGCCGACAACUGACGCUGAUGCACGAAAGUGUGGGGAUCGAACAGGAUUAGAAACCCUUGUAGUCC
RNAcentral lists this ribosomal RNA (444 nucleotides) under uncultured bacterium. Its description in RNAcentral is "partial 16S ribosomal RNA". It matches the Rfam family "Bacterial small subunit ribosomal RNA", at positions 354 to 796 of the family's 1533-position model. The record is from RNAcentral.